Molecule: ribosomal RNA, 253 nt
Filed under: uncultured bacterium
Lineage: Bacteria
Description: partial 16S ribosomal RNA
Rfam family: Bacterial small subunit ribosomal RNA
Source: RNAcentral
UACGGAGGGUGCAAGCGUUAUCCGGAUUUACUGGGUUUAAAGGGUGCGCAGGCGGAUAUGUAAGUCAGUGGUGAAAUCUUUGGGCUUAACCCGAAAAUUGCCAUUGAUACUAUAUAUCUUGAAUGCUGUGGAGGUAAGCGGAAUAUGUCAUGUAGCGGUGAAAUGCUUAGAUAUUGGGAAGAACACCGGUGGCGAAGGCGGCUCUCUGGACCGAGACUGACGCUGAGGCGCGAAAGCGUGGGGAGCAAACAGG